AAUCCCUUAACGAGGAACAAUUGGAGGGCAAGUCUGGUGCCAGCAGCCGCGGUAAUUCCAGCUCCAAUAGCGUAUAUUAAAGUUGUUGUGGUUAAAAAGCUCGUAGUUGAACCUUGGGCCUGGCUGGCCGGUCCGCCUCACCGCGUGUACUGGUCCGGCCGGGCCUUUCCCUCUGUGGAACCCCAUGCCCUUCACUGGGUGUGGCGGGGAAACAGGACUUUUACUUUGAAAAAAUUAGAGUGCUCCAGGCAGGCCUAUGCUCGAAUACAUUAGCAUGGAAUAAUAGAAUAGGACGUGUGGUUCUAUUUUGUUGGUUUCUAGGACCGCCGUAAUGAUUAAUAGGGACAGUCGGGGGCAUCAGUAUUCAAUUGUCAGAGGUGAAAUUCUAGGAUUUAUUGAAGACUAACUACUGCGAAAGCAUUUGCCAAGGAUGUUUUCAUUAAUCAGGAACGAAAGUUAGGGGAUCGAAGACGAUCAGAUACCGUCGUAGUCUUAACCAUAAACUAUGCCGACUAGGGAUCGGACGAUGUUAUUUUUUGACUCGUUCGGCACCUUACGAGAAAUCAAAGUGCUUGGGCUCCAGGGGGAGUAUGGUCGCAAGGCUGAAACUUAAAGAAAUUGACGGAAGGGCACCACCAGGGGUGGAGCCUGCGGCUUAAUUUGACACAACACGGGGAAACUCACCAGGUCCAGACACAAUGAGGAUUGACAGAUUGAGAGCCCUUUCUUGAUUUUGUGGGUGGUGGUGCAUGGCCGUUCUUAGUUGGUGGAGUGAUUUGUCUGCUUAAUUGCGAUAACGAACGAGACCUUAACCUGCUAAAUAGCCCGUAUUGCUUUGGCAGUACGCUGGCUUCUUAGAGGGACUAUCGGCUCAAGCCGAUGGAAGUUUGAGGCAAUAACAGGUCUGUGGUGCUCUUAGAUGUUCUGGGCCGCACGCGCGCUACACUGACGGAGCCAGCGAGUUCUACCUUGGCCGGAAGGUCCGGGUAAUCUUGUUAAACUCCGUCGUGCUGGGGAUAGAGCAUUGCAAUUAUUGCUCUUCAACGAGGAAUCCCUAGUAAGCGCAAGUCAUCAGCUUGCGUUGAUUACGUCCCUGCCCUUUGUACACACCGCCCGUCGCUACUACCGAUUGAAUGGCUCAGUGAGGCGUCCGGACUGGCCCAGAGAGGUGGGCAACUACCCCUCAGGGCCGGAAAGCUCUC
This 1202-nucleotide ribosomal RNA is filed under the name metagenome. Its description in RNAcentral is "SSU rRNA". It matches the Rfam family "Eukaryotic small subunit ribosomal RNA", at positions 528 to 1759 of the family's 1831-position model. The record is from RNAcentral.